RNAcentral lists this unclassified non-coding RNA (240 nucleotides) under soil metagenome. RNAcentral's name for it is "partial contains 5.8S ribosomal RNA, internal transcribed spacer 2, and large subunit ribosomal RNA". The record is from RNAcentral.
AACGAGGCCGACCUGCGGCUGAGUUACCUGCGGAGGGAUCAUUACUGAAUUGAUUUUGGGGAUGUUGCUGGUCUCUUGAGGCAAUGGUGCACUCCCUCAAACAUUUCACAAUUUCCAUCUCACCCAUGUGCACAUCCUGUAGGUGGUCUCCCAACCCCCCCCCACCUUUCCUUGGGGGAGUGUGUGGGUCUGGUCUCCUAUGUAUUUCCUUGCCAACAUCACACGUUUUGACUGAUGAAU